This 710-nucleotide ribosomal RNA is filed under the name uncultured Alteromonadaceae bacterium. RNAcentral's name for it is "bacterial SSU rRNA". It matches the Rfam family "Bacterial small subunit ribosomal RNA", at positions 56 to 761 of the family's 1533-position model. The record is from RNAcentral. Lineage: Bacteria; Pseudomonadati; Pseudomonadota; Gammaproteobacteria; Alteromonadales; Alteromonadaceae.
UGCAAGUCGAACGAGAAGCUUCUUCGGAAGUGAUUAAAGUGGCGCACGGGUGAGUAACGCGUAGACAAUCUGCCCUUCAGUCCGGGACGACUUUCCGAGAGGGGAGCUAAUACCGGAUAACAAUGUUUAACAUAAGUUUAAUAUUUGAAAGCUCCGGUGCUGAUGGAUGAGUCUGCGUCCCAUUAGCUUGUUGGUGCGGUAGUGGCGCACCAAGGCCGCGAUGGGUAGCGGGUUUGAGAGGACGAUCCGCCACACUGGGACUGAGACACGGCCCAGACUCCUACGGGAGGCAGCAGUGGGGAAUAUUGCACAAUGGGGGAAACCCUGAUGCAGCCAUGCCGCGUGUGUGAAGAAGGCCUUCGGGUUGUAAAGCACUUUCAGUUGUGAGGAAAAGUUAGUAGUUAAUACCUGCUAGCCGUGACGUUAACAACAGAAGAAGCACCGGCUAACUCCGUGCCAGCAGCCGCGGUAAUACGGAGGGUGCGAGCGUUAAUCGGAAUUACUGGGCGUAAAGCGCACGCAGGCGGUUUGUUAAGCUAGAUGUGAAAGCCCCGGGCUCAACCUGGGAUGGUCAUUUAGAACUGGCAGACUAGAGUCUUGGAGAGGGGAGUGGAAUUCCAGGUGUAGCGGUGAAAUGCGUAGAUAUCUGGAGGAACAUCAGUGGCGAAGGCGACUCCCUGGCCAAAGACUGACGCUCAUGUGCGAAAGUG